UUGGGACUUUAUCUCCACGUAUACGGCAAAAGAAGAUCUUUAAAUAGGUAUACGUGGUAAACGAAUCCCAGAAAUUGAAUCGAUGUCUGCAGAAGAAAUAAUUCUAAUAAUUGAAAUUAACUUCUUUUGAUGAUAUUGGACAUUA
Molecule: small nucleolar RNA, 145 nt
Filed under: Hyphopichia burtonii NRRL Y-1933
Lineage: Eukaryota; Fungi; Ascomycota; Pichiomycetes; Serinales; Debaryomycetaceae
Source: RNAcentral